CUCAUUACGAACGCUGGCGACAGGCCUAACACAUGCAAGUCGAACGGAUCCUUCGGGAUUAGUGGCAGACGGGUGAGUAACGCGUGGGAAGCUACCUUGUGGUAGGGAACAACAGUUGGAAACGACUGCUAAUACCCUAUGAGCCCUAUGGGGGAAAGAUUUAUCGCCAUGAGAUGUGCCCGCGUUAGAUUAGCUAGUUGGUAAGGUAAUGGCUUACCAAGGCGACGAUCUAUAGCUGGUCUGAGAGGAUGAUCAGCCACACUGGGACUGAGACACGGCCCAGACUCCUACGGGAGGCAGCAGUGGGGAAUAUUGGACAAUGGGGGCAACCCUGAUCCAGCCAUGCCGCGUGAGUGAUGACGGCCUUAGGGUUGUAAAGCUCUUUCAGCAGUGAAGAUAAUGACAUUAACUGCAGAAGAAGCCCCGGCUAACUUCGUGCCAGCAGCCGCGGUAAUACGAAGGGGGCUAGCGUUGUUCGGAAUCACUGGGCGUAAAGCGUACGUAGGCGGACUGAUCAGUCAGGGGUGAAAUCCCGGGGCUCAACCCCGGAACUGCCUUUGAUACUGUCAGUCUUGAGAUCGAGAGAGGUGAGUGGAACUCCGAGUGUAGAGGUGAAAUUCGUAGAUAUUCGGAAGAACACCAGUGGCGAAGGCGGCUCACUGGCUCGAUACUGAC
This 675-nucleotide ribosomal RNA is filed under the name Pseudovibrio sp. RNAcentral describes it as "bacterial SSU rRNA". It matches the Rfam family "Bacterial small subunit ribosomal RNA", at positions 23 to 744 of the family's 1533-position model. Lineage: Bacteria; Pseudomonadati; Pseudomonadota; Alphaproteobacteria; Hyphomicrobiales; Stappiaceae. The record is from RNAcentral.